UACGGAGGGUGUGAGCGUUAAUCGGAAUUACUGGGCGUAAAGCGCGCGUAGGCGGUUACGUAAGUCGGAUGUGAAAGCCCCGGGCUCAACCUGGGAAUGGCAUUCGAUACUGCGUGGCUUGAGUUUGGGAGAGGGAAGUGGAAUUCCGGGUGUAGCGGUGAAAUGCGUAGAUAUCCGGAGGAACACCAGUGGCGAAGGCGACUUCCUGGCCUAAAACUGACGCUGAGGCGCGAAAGCGUGGGGAGCAAACAGG
RNAcentral lists this unclassified non-coding RNA (253 nucleotides) under uncultured Gammaproteobacteria bacterium. RNAcentral describes it as "contains 16S-23S intergenic spacer region". It matches the Rfam family "Bacterial small subunit ribosomal RNA", at positions 524 to 776 of the family's 1533-position model. Lineage: Bacteria; Pseudomonadati; Pseudomonadota; Gammaproteobacteria. The record is from RNAcentral.